AUGGCUUCCGCCACGUUCUUGAUCUUGGUCGCGGCGGCGAGCCUCCUGGCCAGCUUUGCGCAGGCCGAUUUGCAGUAUGGUUACUACAACACGACGUGCCCGGGCGUGGAGGAGCUCGUGCGCACCGAGCUUGAGGCCAUCUUCGCCGACGACUCCACCCUCCGCGCCGGCCUCCUCCGCCUCCACUUCCACGACUGCUUCGUCCGGGGCUGCGACGCUUCCCUCAUGCUCAACUCCCACAACGGCACCGCUGAGAAGCACGCCGACCCCAACCUCACCGUGCGCGGCUACGAGGCCAUCGAGGCUAUCAAGAAGGUGGUGGAGAAAGCAUGCCCCCUCGUCGUCUCCUGCGCCGACAUCAUGGCCAUGGCCGCGCGCGACGCCGUCAAUUUUAGCGCUGGGCCACACUACGAGGUGGAGACCGGGCGCCGCGACGGGAACGUCUCCAUGUUGGAGGAGGCCCUCACCAACCUGCCACCGGCCGAUGGCAACGUCACCGUGCUCACCCAGUACUUCGCCGUCAAGAACCUCACCAUGAAGGACAUGGUCGUCCUCUCCGCGGCGCACACGAUUGGAGUGACGCACUGCUCGUCCUUCUCCAAGCGGCUCUACAACUUCACUGGAGCCGGCGACCAGGACCCCUCGCUGGAGCCGGCGUACGGGAAGACGCUGACGACCAAGUGCCCAACGGAGAAGAUGGCGAGCGUGGUGCCCAUGGACGAUGUGACGGUGGACAAGUUCGACCUGGGAUACUACGAGUCCGUGUACAAUCACCGGGCGGUGCUGCGCUCCGAUGCCGCGCUGCUGGAGGACAGCCUCACCGGCGCCUACGUCGCGCUCAUGAACAACGCCUCCUCUCUCGACACCUUCUUCGCUGACUUUGCCGUCGCUAUGAUCAACAUGGGCAGGGCUGGCGUUCUCACUGGCACCCAAGGCGAGAUCAGAGAGACCUGCGGCGUCUACGUCGACUGA
Molecule: ribosomal RNA, 972 nt
Filed under: Triticum aestivum (bread wheat)
Lineage: Eukaryota; Viridiplantae; Streptophyta; Magnoliopsida; Poales; Poaceae
Description: partial small subunit ribosomal RNA
Source: RNAcentral